RNAcentral lists this transfer RNA (543 nucleotides) under uncultured Prochlorococcus sp. Its description in RNAcentral is "partial 16S-23S ribosomal RNA intergenic spacer". The stretch from base 124 to 197 matches the Rfam family "tRNA". The record is from RNAcentral. Lineage: Bacteria; Bacillati; Cyanobacteriota; Cyanophyceae; Synechococcales; Prochlorococcaceae.
CAGGGAGACCACAAAAUGUUAAAUAUUAAUUUUGUCCCCUUAGGUCGAUCGGUACCUCCCAUUCUUAAUUUAUUAAGGAUUUUAUUUCCUAAGUUUUUCUAGGUCACACCCAUUAUUUUUCCUGGGCCAUUAGCUCAGGUGGUUAGAGCGCACCCUUGAUAAGGGUGAGGUCCUUGGUUCAAGUCCAGGAUGGCCCAUAUCUCUAUGUUGGGGGUAUAGCUCAGUUGGUAGAGCGCCUGCUUUGCAAGCAGGAUGUCAGCGGUUCGAGUNCGCUUACNUCCACUGAUUACCACCUCUUCCAUAAUUUUUAUAGAAAGGAAAUUUUUGUGUUGCGAUCAAAUUCUGAACGAUUCUAGCUUCCUAAUCANACUAUUAAGAUGCUGGAUUCAUUGAAUUAAUUUCCUUGNUUUCANANAACCUUGACAACUGCAUAAAUUAUUUUUAAAGACAAUAAGCAUCUUUUAAUGAUGCAUAUUUAUUAUUUUUGCAAAUGCAUUAAUACCAAUUCUAUUAAGCUGAUGCUUCAAAUUUUUUGAAGUUAUU